Molecule: ribosomal RNA, 465 nt
Filed under: uncultured bacterium
Lineage: Bacteria
Description: partial 16S ribosomal RNA
Rfam family: Bacterial small subunit ribosomal RNA
Source: RNAcentral
CCUACGGGUGGCAGCAGUGAGGAAUAUUGCACAAUGGGGGAAACCCUGAUGCAGCGACGCCGCGUGAGUGAAGAAGUAUCUCGGUAUGUAAAGCUCUGUUGGUAGUGAAGAAAGAUAGAGGUAGUAACUGGCCUUUAUUUGACGGUAAUUACUUAGAAAGUCACGGCUAACUACGUGCCAGCAGCCGCGGUAAUACGUAGGUGGCAAGCGUUGUCCGGAUUUAUUGGGCGUAAAGCGAGUGCAGGCGGUUCAAUAAGUCUGAUGUGAAAGCCUUCGGCUCAACCGGAGAAUUGCAUCAGAAACUGUUGAACUUGAGUGCAGAAGAGGAGAGUGGAACUCCAUGUGUAGCGGUGGAAUGCGUAGAUAUAUGGAAGAACACCAGUGGCGAAGGCGGCUCUCUGGUCUGCAACUGACGCUGAGGCUCGAAAGCAUGGGUAGCGAACAGGAUUAGAUACCCUUGUAGUC